CCGCCAAAUGUCAAUCACAUUUCAUCUUUGACCGAUCCUACCUUUGGUAGAAACUAGCAGCAACAGAUGCAAUUCACAUGAUGACAUCUUACAUGAAUGGCACUAACUAUUCAAGCUAUUGUUCUUUUUCCUCAUAAAAAAUUAUUACCUACUAAUAAUUGUUACAUGGUGCACAAAAGGAAAGAUCGAUAGUUCUAUCCCUG
RNAcentral lists this long non-coding RNA (203 nucleotides) under Elaeis guineensis (African oil palm). RNAcentral's name for it is "long non-coding RNA (EGUI_LNC023796)". Lineage: Eukaryota; Viridiplantae; Streptophyta; Magnoliopsida; Arecales; Arecaceae. The record is from RNAcentral.